RNAcentral lists this ribosomal RNA (497 nucleotides) under uncultured bacterium. Its description in RNAcentral is "partial 16S ribosomal RNA". It matches the Rfam family "Bacterial small subunit ribosomal RNA", at positions 28 to 507 of the family's 1533-position model. The record is from RNAcentral.
GACGAACGCUGGCGGCGUGCCUAAUACAUGCAAGUAGAACGCUGAAGCUUGGUGCUUGCACCGAGCGGAUGAGUUGCGAACGGGUGAGUAACGCGUAGGUAACCUGCCUGGUAGCGGGGGAUAACUAUUGGAAACGAUAGCUAAUACCGCAUAACAGUAGAUAUCGCAUGAUAGCUACUUGAAAGGUGCAAAUGCACCACUACCAGAUGGACCUGCGUUGUAUUAGCUAGUUGGUGAGGUAACGGCUCACCAAGGCAACGAUACAUAGCCGACCUGAGAGGGUGAUCGGCCACACUGGGACUGAGACACGGCCCAGACUCCUACGGGAGGCAGCAGUAGGGAAUCUUCGGCAAUGGACGGAAGUCUGACCGAGCAACGCCGCGGGAGUGAAGAAGGUUUUCGGAUCGUAAAGCUCUGUUGUAAGAGAAGAACGAGUGUGAGAGUGGAAAGUUCACAAUGUGACGGUAUCUUACCAGAAAGGGACGGCUAACUACGUG